UCGAGAAUUUUUCACAAUGGGCGAAAGCCUGAUGGAGCGACGCCGCGUGGGGGAUGAAUGGCUUCGGCCCGUAAACCCCUGUCAUUUGCGAUCAAACCUUUCCCGCUAACACCGGGAAAGCUGAUAGUAGCGAAAGAGGAAGGGACGGCUAACUCUGUGCCAGCAGCCGCGGUAAUACAGAGGUCCCAAGCGUUGUUCGGAUUCACUGGGCGUAAAGGGUGCGUGGGUGGUAGGGUAAGUUCGGUGUGGAAUCUCUGGGCCCAACCCAGAAACUGCAUUGAAUACUAUCCUGCUAGAGGUUUGGAAGGGGGACUGGAAUUCUCGGUGUAGCAGUGAAAUGCGUAGAUAUCGAGAGGAACACCAGUGGCGAAGGCGAGUCCCUGGACAACACCUGACACUGAGGCACGAAAGCUAGGGGAGCAAACAGG
Molecule: ribosomal RNA, 428 nt
Filed under: uncultured bacterium
Lineage: Bacteria
Description: bacterial SSU rRNA
Rfam family: Bacterial small subunit ribosomal RNA
Source: RNAcentral